AAGGCUAAAUACUCCUGACUGACCGAUAGUGAACCAGUACCGUGAGGGAAAGGCGAAAAGAACCCCGGCGAGGGGAGUGAAAAAGAACCUGAAACCGUGUACGUACAAGCAGUGGGAGCACGCUUAGGCGUGUGACUGCGUACCUUUUGUAUAAUGGGUCAGCGACUUAUAUUCUGUAGCAAGGUUAACCGAAUAGGGGAGCCGAAGGGAAACCGAGUCUUAACUGGGCGUUAAGUUGCAGGGUAUAGACCCGAAACCCGGUGAUCUAGCCAUGGGCAGGUUGAAGGUUGGGUAACACUAACUGGAGGACCGAACCGACUAAUGUUGAAAAAUUAGCGGAUGACUUGUGGCUGGGGGUGAAAGGCCAAUCAAACCGGGAGAUAGCUGGUUCUCCCCGAAAGCUAUUUAGGUAGCGCCUCGUGAAUUCAUCUCCGGGGGUAGAGCACUGUUUCGGCAAGGGGGUCAUCCCGACUUACCAACCCGAUGCAAACUGCGAAUACCGGAGAAUGUUAUCACGGGAGACACACGGCGGGUGCUAACGUCCGUCGUGAAGAGGGAAACAACCCAGACCGCCAGCUAAGGUCCCAAAGUCAUGGUUAAGUGGGAAACGAUGUGGGAAGGCCCAGACAGCCAGGAUGUUGGCUUAGAAGCAGCCAUCAUUUAAAGAAAGCGUAAUAGCUCACUGGUCGAGUCGGCCUGCGCGGAAGAUGUAACGGGGCUAAACCAUGCACCGAAGCUGCGGCAGCGACGCUGAUGCGUUGUUGGGUAGGGGAGCGUUCUGUAAGCCUGUGAAGGUGUGCUGUGAGGCAUGCUGGAGGUAUCAGAAGUGCGAAUGCUGACAUAAGUAACGAUAAAGCGGGUGAAAAGCCCGCUCGCCGGAAGACCAAGGGUUCCUGUCCAACGUUAAUCGGGGCAGGGUGAGUCGACCCCUAAGGCGAGGCCGAAAGGCGUAGUCGAUGGGAAACAGGUUAAUAUUCCUGUACUUGGUGUUACUGCGAAGGGGGGACGGAGAAGGCUAUGUUGGCCGGGCGACGGUUGUCCCGGUUUAAGCGUGUAGGCUGGUUUUCCAGGCAAAUCCGGAAAAUCAAGGCUGAGGCGUGAUGACGAGGCACUACGGUGCUGAAGCAACAAAUGCCCUGCUUCCAGGAAAAGCCUCUAAGCAUCAGGUAACAUCAAAUCGUACCCCAAACCGACACAGGUGGUCAGGUAGAGAAUACCAAGGCGCUUGAGAGAACUCGGGUGAAGGAACUAGGCAAAAUGGUGCCGUAACUUCGGGAGAAGGCACGCUGAUAUGUAGGUGAAGUCCCUCGCGGAUGGAGCUGAAAUCAGUCGAAGAUACCAGCUGGCUGCAACUGUUUAUUAAAAACACAGCACUGUGCAAACACGAAAGUGGACGUAUACGGUGUGACGCCUGCCCGGUGC
Molecule: ribosomal RNA, 1422 nt
Filed under: Escherichia coli
Lineage: Bacteria; Pseudomonadati; Pseudomonadota; Gammaproteobacteria; Enterobacterales; Enterobacteriaceae
Description: partial 23S ribosomal RNA
Rfam family: Bacterial large subunit ribosomal RNA
Source: RNAcentral